GUGCAGUACGCAGGUCCACGGAGCAGAGGUGAGGUGGCGUCAGCUCUGCCUGGAGGAGCUGAGAAAGGCUUCGCAGGAGGAGGCGUCUUUGAACUGGGUCCUGGAGGCUGAGGGGGAAUCCAGGCAAAGGAGAUGCCGGUUCGAGCCCUGGUCCGGGAAGAUCCCACAUGCCGCGGAGCAACUAAGCCCCUGCGCCACAACUACUGAGCCUGCGCUCUAGAGCCCUCGAGCCACAACUAGUGAAGCCCGCGUGCCUAGAGCCUAUGCUCUGCAACAAGGGACGCCACCACAAUGAGAAGCCCGCGCACUGCAAUGAAGAGUAGACCCCGCUCACCGCAACUAGAGAAAGCCCGCGAGCAGCAACGAAGACCCAACGCAGCCAAAAAAAAAAAAAAAAACAAGGUUGCUGGAAAACUGCAGCUGCUGGGGCUCAAGAGAGUGAAAGCACAGAGCCAUUUCUGCAUGUUUCUGCCUCCUCCUGUUCUAAGCUGGUUCAUGGACUUCCCUGGUGGUGCAGUGGUUAAGAAUCCGCCUGCCAACAAGAGAGGCCGCAAUAGUGAGGCCCGCGCACCGUGAUGAAGAGUGGGCCCCGCUUGCCGCAACUAGAGAAAGCCCUCGCACAGAAACGAAGA
Balaenoptera acutorostrata (minke whale) is the source of this 632-nucleotide long non-coding RNA. RefSeq lists it as uncharacterized. The record is from RefSeq and is a predicted model, not a curated record. The transcript is spliced from 4 exons. NCBI's taxonomy places the organism in Eukaryota, Metazoa, Chordata, Mammalia, Artiodactyla, Balaenopteridae.